UACGUAGGUGGCAAGCGUUGUCCGGAUUUAUUGGGUUUAAAGGGUGCGUAGGCGGUCUAUUAAGUCCGUUGUGAAAUACGGCAGCUCAACUGUCGAGGUGCAAUUGAUACUGAUGGACUUGAGUACUGAUGAGGUAAGCGGAAUGGACGGUGUAGCGGUGAAAUGCUUAGAUAUCGUCCAGAACACCGAUAGCGAAGGCAGCUUACUAAGGAGUAACUGACGCUGAGGCACGAAAGUGUGGGGAGCAAACAGG
Molecule: ribosomal RNA, 253 nt
Filed under: uncultured bacterium
Lineage: Bacteria
Description: partial 16S ribosomal RNA
Rfam family: Bacterial small subunit ribosomal RNA
Source: RNAcentral